GAUGAACGCUGGCGGCGUGCCUAAUACAUGCAAGUCGAGCGAACGGACGAGAAGCUUGCUUCUCUGAUGUUAGCGGCGGACGGGUGAGUAACACGUGGAUAACCUACCUAUAAGACUGGGAUAACUUCGGGAAACCGGAGCUAAUACCGGAUAAUAUUUUGAACCGCAUGGUUCAAAAGUGAAAGACGGUCUUGCUGUCACUUAUAGAUGGAUCCGCGCUGCAUUAGCUAGUUGGUAAGGUAACGGCUUACCAAGGCAACGAUGCAUAGCCGACCUGAGAGGGUGACCGGCCACACUAACUGAGACACGGUCCAGACUCCUACGGGAGGCAGCAGUAGGGAAUCUUCCGCAAUGGGCGAAAGCCUGACGGAGCAACGCCGCGUGAGUGAUGAAGGUCUUCGGAUCGUAAAACUCUGUUAUUAGGGAAGAACAUAUGUGUAAGUAACUGUGCACAUCUUGACGGUACCUAAUCAGAAAGCCACGGCUAACUACGUG
RNAcentral lists this ribosomal RNA (495 nucleotides) under uncultured bacterium. Its description in RNAcentral is "partial 16S ribosomal RNA". It matches the Rfam family "Bacterial small subunit ribosomal RNA", at positions 28 to 507 of the family's 1533-position model. The record is from RNAcentral.